This 995-nucleotide ribosomal RNA is filed under the name uncultured bacterium. Its description in RNAcentral is "bacterial SSU rRNA". It matches the Rfam family "Bacterial small subunit ribosomal RNA", at positions 355 to 1375 of the family's 1533-position model. The record is from RNAcentral.
UGGGGAAUAUUGCACAAUGGGGGAAACCCUGAUGCAGCGACGCCGCGUGGAGGAAGAAGGUCUUCGGAUUGUAAACUCCUGUUGUUGAGGAAGAUAAUGACGGUACUCAACAAGGAAGUGACGGCUAACUACGUGCCAGCAGCCGCGGUAAAACGUAGGUCACAAGCGUUGUCCGGAAUUACUGGGUGUAAAGGGAGCGUAGGCGGGAUGCCAAGUCAGCUGUGAAAACUAUGGGCUUAACCUGUAGACUGCAGUUGAAACUGGUAUUCUUGAGUGAAGUAGAGGUUGGCGGAAUUCCGAGUGUAGCGGUGAAAUGCGUAGAUAUUCGGAGGAACACCGGUGGCGAAGGCAGCCAACUGGGCUUUAACUGACGCUGAGGCUCGAAAGUGUGGGGAGCAAACAGGAUUAGAUACCCUGGUAGUCCACACUGUAAACGAUGAUAACUAGGUGUGGGGGGUCUGACCCCUUCCGUGCCGCAGCUAACGCAAUAAGUUAUCCACCUGGGGAGUACGACCGCAAGGUUGAAACUCAAAGGAAUUGACGGGGACCCGCACAAGCAGUGGAUUAUGUGGUUUAAUUCGACGCAACGCGAAGAACCUUACCAAGUCUUGACAUCCCUUGACGAUGCUGGAAACAGCAUUUCUCUUCGGAGCAAGGAGACAGGUGGUGCAUGGUUGUCGUCAGCUCGUGUCGUGAGAUGUUGGGUUAAGUCCCGCAACGAGCGCAACCCUUAUGGUCAGUUACUACGCAAGAGGACUCUGGCCAGACUGCCGUUGACAAAACGGAGGAAGGUGGGGAUGACGUCAAAUCAUCAUGCCCUUUAUGACUUGGGCUACACACGUACUACAAUGGCGUUAAACAAAGAGAAGCAAGACCGCGAGGUGGAGCAAAACUCAGAAACAACGUCCCAGUUCGGACUGCAGGCUGCAACUCGCCUGCACGAAGUCGGAAUUGCUAGUAAUCGUGGAUCAGCAUGCCACGGUGAAUACGUUCCC